RNAcentral lists this small RNA (93 nucleotides) under Mixta calida. RNAcentral describes it as "partial RtT sRNA". It matches the Rfam family "RtT RNA", at positions 37 to 130 of the family's 130-position model. From Rfam's summary of the family: This family represents a bacterial cis-regulatory element known as RtT RNA. The exact function of RtT is unknown although it is thought that it may be involved in changing the cellular response in relation to amino acid starvation. The record is from RNAcentral. Lineage: Bacteria; Pseudomonadati; Pseudomonadota; Gammaproteobacteria; Enterobacterales; Erwiniaceae.
CAGCAGGUUCGGGUCGAGCUCAGCGAGACAACGUUGCCAGCGGCAACGGCCCGAAGGGCGAGGCAAAGCCGAGUUAUCCUGCACGACCCACCA